UACAGAGGUGGCAAGCGUUGUUCGGAAUUACUGGGCGUAAAGGGCGCGUAGGCGGCCUUCUAAGUCAGACGUGAAAUCCCCCGGCUUAACCUGGGAACUGCGUCUGAUACUGGGAGGCUUGAGUAUGGGAGAGGGAUGUAGAAUUCCAGGUGUAGCGGUGAAAUGCGCAGAUAUCAGGAGGAACACCAAUUGCGAAGGCAGCUCGCUGGGACGUUACUGACGCUGAGACGCGAAAGCGUGGGGAGCAAACAGG
Molecule: ribosomal RNA, 253 nt
Filed under: uncultured bacterium
Lineage: Bacteria
Description: partial 16S ribosomal RNA
Rfam family: Bacterial small subunit ribosomal RNA
Source: RNAcentral